CCUACGGGUGGCAGCAGUGGGGAAUAUUGCACAAUGGGGGCAACCCUGAUGCAGCGAUGCCGCGUGAGUGAAGAAGUCCUUCGUUAUGUAAAGCUCUAUCAGCAGGGAAGAAAAUGACGGUACGUGAGUACGACGCCCCGUCUAACACCGUGCCAGCAGCCGCGGUACGACGUGGGGGGCAAGCGUUAUCCGGAUUUACUGGGUGUAAAGGGAGCGUAGGGGGCUGUGCAAGUCUGGGGUGAAAGGCGGGGGCUCAACCCCCGGUCUGCUCUGGAAACUGUACGGCUGGAGUGCAGGUGAGGUAGGUGGAAUGCCUGGUGUAGCGGUGAAAUGCGUAGAUAUUAGGAAGAACACCAGUGGCGAAGGCGGCUUACUGGACUGUGACUGACGUUGAGGCUCGAAAGCGUGGGGAGCAAACAGGAUUAGAUACCCUAGUAGUC
Molecule: ribosomal RNA, 440 nt
Filed under: uncultured bacterium
Lineage: Bacteria
Description: partial 16S ribosomal RNA
Rfam family: Bacterial small subunit ribosomal RNA
Source: RNAcentral